Molecule: ribosomal RNA, 456 nt
Filed under: uncultured bacterium
Lineage: Bacteria
Description: bacterial SSU rRNA
Rfam family: Bacterial small subunit ribosomal RNA
Source: RNAcentral
UCCUGGCUUAGAACGAACGCUGGCGGCAGGCCUAACACAUGCAAGUCGAGCGCGCCCUUCGGGGUGAGCGGCGGACGGGUUAGUAACGCGUGGGAACGUACCCUUUGGUAGGGAAUAGCCACUGGAAACGGUGAGUAAUACCCUAUGAGCCCUUCGGGGGAAAGAUUUAUCGCCAAAGGAUCGGCCCGCGUUAGAUUAGGUAGUUGGUGGGGUAAUGGCCUACCAAGCCUACGAUCUAUAGCUGGUUUUAGAGGAUGAUCAGCAACACUGGGACUGAGACACGGCCCAGACUCCUACGGGAGGCAGCAGUGGGGAAUCUUGGACAAUGGGGGCAACCCUUGAUCCAGCCAUGCCGCGUGAGUGAAGAAGGCCUUAGGGUCGUAAAGCUCUUUCGCCUGUGAAGAUAAUGACGGUAGCAGGUAAAGAAACCCCGGCUAACUCCGUGCCAGCCGCGGC